GGAAGGGUGUCCGAGUGGUUUAUGGUGCCGCUCUCGAAAAGCGGUGUGCCUGAAUAGGGCACCGCGGGUUCGAAUCCCGCCCCUUCCGCCU
This 91-nucleotide transfer RNA is filed under the name Ktedonobacterales bacterium. Its description in RNAcentral is "tRNA-Ser". It matches the Rfam family "tRNA". From Rfam's summary of the family: Transfer RNA (tRNA) molecules are approximately 80 nucleotides in length. Their secondary structure includes four short double-helical elements and three loops (D, anti-codon, and T loops). The record is from RNAcentral. Lineage: Bacteria; Bacillati; Chloroflexota; Ktedonobacteria; Ktedonobacterales.